GGAUUAAUACUUCAUAGUAUAUAGAUAUGGCAUCANUAUUAUAUUAAAGAUUUAUCGGUAAAAGAUGAGCAUGCGUUCUAUUAGUUAGUUGGUAAGGUAACGGCUUACCAAGACUGCGAUAGAUAGGGGUCCUGAGAGGGAGAUCCCCCACACUGGUACUGAGACACGGACCAGACUCCUACGGGAGGCAGCAGUGAGGAAUAUUGGACAAUGGGCGAGAGCCUGAUCCAGCCAUGCCGCGUGCAGGAAGACUGCCCUAUGGGUUGUAAACUGCUUUUAUACAGGAAGAAACACUCCCUCGUGAGGGAGCUUGACGGUACUGUAAGAAUAAGGAUCGGCUAACUCCGUGCCAGCAGCCGCGGG
Molecule: ribosomal RNA, 363 nt
Filed under: Formosa sp. con18
Lineage: Bacteria; Pseudomonadati; Bacteroidota; Flavobacteriia; Flavobacteriales; Flavobacteriaceae
Description: bacterial SSU rRNA
Rfam family: Bacterial small subunit ribosomal RNA
Source: RNAcentral